CCUACGGGAGGCAGCAGUGGGGAAUAUUGCACAAUGGGGGAAACCCUGAUGCAGCGACGCCGCGUGAGUGAAGAAGUAAGUCGUGAUGUAAAGCUCUAUCAGCAGGGAAGAAAAUGACGGUACCUGAGUAAGAAGCCCCGGCGAACUACGUGCCAGCAGCCGCGGUAAGACGUAGGGGGAAAGCUUUAUCCGGAUUGACUGGGUGUAAAGGGAGCGUAGACGGCAGGGCAAGUCUGGAGUGAAAGGCGGGGGCUCAACCCCCGGACGGCUCUGGAAACUGUACGGCUGGAGUGCAGGAGAGGUAAGUGGAAUUCCUCGUGUAGCGGUUACCUGCGUAGAUCUUCGGAGGAACACCAGUGUCGAAGGCGGCUUACUGGACUGUAACUGCCGUUGAGGCUCGACAGCGUGGGGAGCAAACAGGAUUAGAUACCCGGGUAGUC
This 440-nucleotide ribosomal RNA is filed under the name uncultured bacterium. RNAcentral describes it as "partial 16S ribosomal RNA". It matches the Rfam family "Bacterial small subunit ribosomal RNA", at positions 338 to 795 of the family's 1533-position model. The record is from RNAcentral.